This is a long non-coding RNA of Mauremys reevesii (Reeves's turtle), 307 nucleotides long. RefSeq lists it as uncharacterized. NCBI's taxonomy places the organism in Eukaryota, Metazoa, Chordata, Testudines, Geoemydidae. The transcript has 3 exons. The record is from RefSeq and is a predicted model, not a curated record.
AGAAGACAAAAGAAACAGCCUAUGGACUUGGGAGCAGAUCCUGACCUGAAACUUGGUCAGCAGUGUUACUGGAAAUUUGUGCACAACAGGAGGAGGAGUUGGCCAUCUAGCAGCAGCACAGCGAAAUGAGACCAGGUGACAGAAAUUUUGGAACUGUCCGAAGACUGUGAGGUUGCUAGGAUUCCUGCUCUGCAUUUUCUAGGAGGAAUAGGGAUUGCUGUUAAACUAGUUUAUCUGCAAGAGUCUUCUGAGCAAUUUGGUCUGGAGUCACUUCAAGGCAGUAAACAACAAACCCACCCCUUUUACA